CGUGGGGCUCAAACUCACGAGCCGUGAGAUCAUGACCUGAGCCAAUGUCAGACACUUAACCGACGGAGCCACCUCGGCGCCCUGUCCCCGUGACAGUCAAUGAUAAAGGCACACACGUGGCACUUACUAAGGCAGGCCCUGUUCUGAGUGUCCCUUGUGUGUACUUAUUUCCUCAUUACUCCUCACAACCCCGUGAGGUGCUGUCCCUGUCUCUGCUUCGCAGAGGAGGGAAACUUGGCCCAGGGAGUGGAGUGACUUUGGGGCCUCGCAGCAGACAGGCGGUGGAGCUGGGAUUCGAACCCCCGUCCCCUGCUCCAGAGCACCUGCCCUUUACCACCCGCUGUAUCCUCCCCUCACAGAAGAAAGUAAACGUGUCACAAAAGAGUACUCAUCCCCACUGUGUGCGAUGUUUCGGGAUUUUUGCUGUUUUGUUCCAUUUUAUCCCUCAAAUGCUGGUCAGCAUUGGUGUCCUGACCCUCUCUGAUUCAUCUCGAUCUGCUUUUUAGAAAAUUCUGUCAGGUCCUACUCCCCCAGCGCCUCCACAUACCCCCACCUCCAUCCCAGGCCCUGCUCCCCCAGUUCAGGCUCCCCGUGACUUCUUCCCUGGACAGCUUGAACCCCUGACUCCUGCCUUCCAUCCAUUCCCCACGUGGAGACCACAGUAAGCUGGAAAAUACGUCUCUGCCCGUAUCGUUCCUGGAUGUCAAACCCUUAAGUGCCCUGAUGCUCUUCGGGGCCUAGUACUCGCUCGGUACGUGAAGGUGGUCAGUAAAUGUAGGAGUGAAUACAUAAUUCUAAAGCUUACUGCGUGUUUUUCCUCAGGACGAAGAUCUUCUCCCAAGUAAAUAUUGUGAAGUGGACUUUCCCAUGAGAGUCACGAGAAAGCUGCGCAGCAUCAAAUACAAGCCUUUCUUAUUACAACCCAUUAUAGAAUUACAUUCAGAGGACACACUGCAAAUUGGCAAGUACCCUUAACCUAAGUAAUACAGUACGGGCUACCUCUCUGCUUUUCUUCCCCUUUCUUUUUAAAGAUGGUGUGUGUGUGUGUGUGUGUGUGCGCGCGCGCGCACGUCUGAGUCUGCGCUUGUGUGCACAUGACGUCACAGAGUGUAUACUUCUGCAUCACAUUUACUGUAAAGGAACUUGAAACAAUUUUUUGUAUGGCCCCUCUUAGAUGUCCAUAGGUCCCAAUGUUAAAUCUUUUUAAAAACAUUUCAGUGAGUUGCAAACAUUUCAAAUAUAGGAGCUUUUUCCCGAAAAUCUUUCCUUGGAAAAAUCCAGUCCGGCAGCCUCAGACCCUGACUCCUACAUGGCUGCUUCACUGAGAGGGAAUGCACAUCCCCACCACUGUUGUCUCGUACCUGAGCCGCUUCACGUUAGGUUAGGUCCUUGGCCCCGGGGCUCAGUUUUUCCCCGUAAGUUUUCAGUAUGAGUGUUUCCAACAACUCUUUCCUCCCUUCUAAGCCUUUAAAACUAAGAUCACAAACACUCUUCCAGAAUGUUCCAUUGUGUUCAGUGUGUGUCUGACAGAGAAGUUCAAGGGGCUUAUUAAUAAUUCAGGUCAGAAAACAUGCUCAGAGAGGAUGGCCUUAGAUGGUGGGCACAGAUAACACAGGAAACGUCAGGCAACUAGACAGGCCUCUACACCAGCACAGUGCCCUCGUCACGCUCCUAGUGAACAGACUCCCACAGAAACUAAUAUCUCCUCCAUCCUUUGUGUCCCUCGUACAAAUUUUAAGUAGAACCUCCUCAGGCUUUGCCAUUGGCUGGCACAUCUGCUUUCUCUACAUCGUAGCCGUCAUACUUUUCUGUGUAUUUGGUUAAUAUUUGCCUCAGAAGGAUUAGCUGUAAUGAAAGGGUUAGCACUUUGCAUUGCCUUUGACCCAUCAGUGUAGAAACAGGUCAAGUAGAAAGUAAAGACCCUGCGUAAUCUCUCCCCCCACCACGAUAACCACUGUGCAGGGUGUUUUCUCCUGUGGAUGGACAGUGUCCCUACAGGCAGAUAAAUAUCACGCGUAAGAAAAUACACACGUAAAUAGAAUCCUGUGCCCGGCCCGCUAAAGGUUCAGUAAAUUUUUGUUGAAGGAAUGUAUGCAUAUAUUGAAUAAAUAAAUAUAUAUGAUGUAGAUCAACAUGUGUUUGUUGAAAGAGUGAAUCUAUACUUCUAUAAAUAAAUAAAUACAGUUUUAUGUAUAAUUUUAGUAAAGUGAAUCAUUUACACGUACUGUUUUGAAACUUGUUCUUCGUGCAUCCUAGUGAAUCACGGCUGUCUUCAUGUUGCCAUAUUAGAUCUACCUCGUUAUUUCUGGUGACUUCGUAGUACUCCUCUGCAUGGAAAUUCCAUUUUACUUAACGUAUUUGCGACUGAUGGUCCUUUAGAUUGCCGCCUUCUUUAUGGUUUCCUGUGAAACAGUUUUGUAGAAAGCCUAGUUAUAUGUGCAUGUUUGCAGGAAUUGCCAGUUCAAAAAAUUGUACCUUAUGAAUUCUAAUAGCUACUGCCAAGCCGUGCUUCAAGACCCUUUCGACUAAUUUGUAUUUUCACUAGAGUAGAUGAGGGUUCUCUUUCUCUACACCCUCACUAACACUGGCUACUACCAUUUUAAAAAAUUCCUGCCAGCCUGCCAAAUCUAUGAAUUAAAAAAUUUUUUGUAACUUUUUUUGUUUGUUUUAAAUUUUUUAUAACUUUGAACGUGCUGGUGAAACGGAGUACCCUUCCUUCCUUCUGUUGGCCUGUGGGAUUUCUUUGUAAAUUUCCUUUGCUCAUAUAGUUUCCAGUUGCAUUGUUUCAUUUUCUUUUCAAUUUAUAGGAAUCCUUUACAACAUAAAGCAAUGUUCUUUGAUAUAAAUCCCUCGUCAACUGUUGAUUGGCAGAUUUCUUUCCUAGCCUGUCACUUGGUUUUUAACUCUGGGUUUGUGUCUUGUGUAGGCAAAUUUUCUAGUCCUGGCCUUGAUAGUUUUUGAUCUUGCCAUCAUACUGGGAGAGGGACAGUUGAAAUAAAAAUUAAUGAAAAUACAAAUGUGAGUGAAAAUUUGAGAAAAGUGAUAGGCGAUGAUAACACUGACACAUUUUCAUUGAAAAACUGCCCUAUUUCAUUAAACGUUUGAGGCUGUGAUUGCAAGAAUCGCACUAUUUAUUUACCGUCAGGAAAGAAAAGGUGCUGAUAAGUUAAACCGAAACGUUAUUGACUGAUGCAUCCUCAUUUCAGAAACGUGAAACUGAGAAAAAAUACGCAUCUUGAAAUUGAUCAUUUCUUAAAGCUGAAAUAUGCAUGAGGUGAAACUUAAAAGUAUAUAAAUGGGCACACAAUGAAAAGUCAGUCCCAAUGAGUAAAUCAAGG
Lynx canadensis (Canada lynx) is the source of this 3338-nucleotide long non-coding RNA. RefSeq lists it as uncharacterized. The record is from RefSeq and is a predicted model, not a curated record. The transcript has 2 exons. Lineage: Eukaryota; Metazoa; Chordata; Mammalia; Carnivora; Felidae.